GACGAACGCUGGCGGCGUGCCUAAUACAUGCAAGUCGAGCGGAGCAGGAAGCGAGCGUAAGCAAGCAGAGAGCUUAGCGGCGAACGGAUGAGUAACACGUAGGUAACCUAGCGAUAAGACAGGGAUAACUUUCGGAAACGGGAGCUAAUACCAGAUAGUCUUUUCCUUCGCAUGAGGGAAAAGGGAAAGGCGGAGCAAUCUGCCGCGUAUGGAGGGACCUGCGGCGCAUUAGCUAGUUGGAGAGGUAACGGCUGACCAAGGCGACGAUGCGUAUCCGACCUGAGAGGGUGAGCGGACACACUGGGACUGAGACACGGCCCAGACUCCUACGGGAGGCAGCAGUAGGGAAUCUUCCGCAAUGGACGAAAGUCUGACGGAGCAACGCCGCGUGAGUGAAGAAGGUUUUCGGAUCGUAAAGCUCUGUUGCUAGGGAAGAAGACUAUGGAGAGUAACUGCUCGAUAGAAGACGGUACCUAAGAAGAAAGCCCCGGCUAACUACGUGCCAGCCGCCGCGGUAA
This 518-nucleotide ribosomal RNA is filed under the name uncultured bacterium. RNAcentral's name for it is "partial 16S ribosomal RNA". It matches the Rfam family "Bacterial small subunit ribosomal RNA", at positions 28 to 523 of the family's 1533-position model. The record is from RNAcentral.